Onychostoma macrolepis is the source of this 391-nucleotide long non-coding RNA. RefSeq lists it as uncharacterized. The transcript is spliced from 4 exons. Lineage: Eukaryota; Metazoa; Chordata; Actinopteri; Cypriniformes; Cyprinidae. The record is from RefSeq and is a predicted model, not a curated record.
UAAGACAGCCAGACACGUGACAACUUUACCAUUUAAACCAUUUAAAUACUUUAUCUCAACUUUGAUGUUUUAUCAUUUUUUGCUCAAAGGUGGGAAAAGAUGACAGAAAAUGUAUUUCUACAGACUGAGAAAAUAUCAACCCAUCAUUCACAACUUUUCCAGCAGUUGAAAGCAGUCAUCACAGGGUCCCUAAUGUUGUUUUUAGCAGAAGACAGAAACUCAUGCAGGUUUGGAAAAAAAUGAGGGUUCCUGCAUCUGUAAUGUUUUACCUGAGGGUUUCAUCUUAUUUAUAGAGCUGUGUUGAGUCAGAUGAUUUGUAUCUCCAUCACACUUUUCACUGCUACCUCUUCAUUUCGUUCUCUUUUAUUCGUUUGACCUUGGUGAAGUUGCC